RNAcentral lists this long non-coding RNA (382 nucleotides) under Phasianus colchicus (ring-necked pheasant). Its description in RNAcentral is "lncRNA (ENSPCLG00000022261.1)". The record is from RNAcentral. Lineage: Eukaryota; Metazoa; Chordata; Aves; Galliformes; Phasianidae.
CAGAAAACCCAAUAUUAUGAUUUAAAGUUUUCCAGAACUGAGGAAGAUCUGAGUGUGGACCUUGCCUCAUGGUAGGAGGAUAGUGUAAGCUUCGGCAUCCCUAAUGGGUGAAGGUGCAUCUAAGGGGAGAAAUCUUAAGAAGAAAUGCAGUGCAGAAAGCAAGGAAGAUUUGGAAGUUUCCACUCCGAUUGUGAGAAGUGACCUCUAAGGAACUGAAUAUCAAUUGGCCUUUCUCCUUCUGAUUGCCUUCUGAUUGAUGUCUUUCCUACUGUGAAAGAAAUCUAUAGCUGUUAACAAGACAGCUUGCAAUGAUUAGUUGCUCUGUUCAAUGACCUCUUCUUUUUUUAUUGCCACUUUCUUAAUUAUAAUAAAUUAACUGCCA